GCACAAGCGGUGGAGCAUGUGGUUAAUUCGACGCAACGCGAAGAACCUUACCAGGGCUUGACAUCCCCUGACCGCGUAUGAAAGUACGUUUUCACCCUCGGGUGACAGGGAGACAGGUGGUGCAUGGUUGUCGUCAGCUCGUGUCGUGAGAUGUUGGGUUAAGUCCCGCAACGAGCGCAACCCCUACGUUUAGUUGCUAACAGGUGAAGCUGAGCACUCUAGACGAACUGCCGUUGACAAAACGGAGGAAGGUGGGAUGACGUCAAAUCAUCAUGCCCCUUAUGUUCUGGGCUACACACGUGCUACAAUGGCCGGUACAGACGGAAGCGAAGCCGCGAGGCGGAGCAAAUCCGAAAAAGCCGGUCUCAGUUCGGAUUGCAGGCUGCAAUUCGCCUGCAUGAAGUCGGAAUCGCUAGUAAUCGCAGGUCAGCAUACUGCGGUGAAUACGUUCCCGGGCCUU
RNAcentral lists this ribosomal RNA (460 nucleotides) under uncultured Pelotomaculum sp. RNAcentral's name for it is "bacterial SSU rRNA". It matches the Rfam family "Bacterial small subunit ribosomal RNA", at positions 923 to 1382 of the family's 1533-position model. Lineage: Bacteria; Bacillati; Bacillota; Clostridia; Eubacteriales; Desulfotomaculaceae. The record is from RNAcentral.